RNAcentral lists this ribosomal RNA (254 nucleotides) under uncultured bacterium. Its description in RNAcentral is "partial 16S ribosomal RNA". It matches the Rfam family "Bacterial small subunit ribosomal RNA", at positions 524 to 776 of the family's 1533-position model. The record is from RNAcentral.
GACGUAGGGCGCAAGCGUUGUCCGGAUUUAUUGGGCGUAAAGAGCUCGUAGGCGGCUCGGUAAGUCAGGUGUGAAAACUCUAGGCUCAACCUAGAGACGCCACCUGAUACUGCCGUGGCUAGAGUCGGGUAGGGGAGCAUGGAAUUCCUGGUGUAGCGGUGAAAUGCGCAGAUAUCAGGAGGAACACCAGUGGCGAAGGCGGUGCUCUGGGCCGGAACUGACGCUGAGGAGCGAAAGCGUGGGGAGCAAACAGG